Molecule: long non-coding RNA, 2211 nt
Organism: Zonotrichia albicollis (white-throated sparrow)
Lineage: Eukaryota; Metazoa; Chordata; Aves; Passeriformes; Passerellidae
Source: RefSeq, a predicted model, not a curated record
UUUUUUUACUGAGUGUGCUACAUCAGUAUAUUUUAAAUUGCAAUGAAUAAGAUUUUAUCUUCUUUUCUAAUGUAUAGUGCAAUAUUUGAUUAGGCAUUGUAUUUGGCAAUGUUUACCUUACUGUGGUCAUGUGUUAUUCUGACUGUUAAAGUUAUGUCAGCAAACUCAGUACUUUCAAUCUUAAUUUCAUAAGCCCCAUUUUUUGGCAGAUGUUUAACCUGAUCAAAAUACUUUUCUUCAGGCAAAAAGUUCUCUAACAUUCUCACCACAAAACCUUUUAUUUAUUUUAAUGAAAAUAAAACAUCAAUGUAAUUUUAAAAUGUUUUUAUUUUAACCACACCAAACCAGAGAUAAAUUAUCCUUGCUUUCUUUGAAGCUUUGGACCUUUCCCAAAGGUCAGUAAAGUGGUUCAAAUGAGUAGUUUAAACAUAUUCAACAGAUAUUUUAACAUUUGCCAUUACUUCCAUGUUUAUAAUGCAUGAUCUCAUGUAAAUUGGACUAUUUUACAUCAAAAUUAAUAUUUUUAAUAUAUUAUGAUACUGCUAUUCAUGCUGAUUUUGAUGUAUAAUUUACCCAUACAGGAAUCAACCUUUCUAGGGCAUUUCAGAAGUUGCCACAGCUGUCUAAAACUGAACUGUGCAGUUUAAGGAACACAUGGAGGCCUUACAAGGAGCAGUGCAAGUGCAGCAGUGACCUGACCUGAGCUGCCUUUGAUCCCUUCCUGUCCCAAGUGAUCACCUGAACAGAUGGAGCCCUAAGUCAUGGACUAAAUGAACCCUGCUGUCAUUGUGUAGACACUGACCUUCCCUCUGCAACACUGCAUUCUCCAGUGCCCCUGCCUUGAUAUUACUCCUUUCCCAGCCACCAGACAGCCUCAUUGGAGGAGCUGCCUAGUUUUUCCUUUUCACUCCUUCAAAACCCUUGAGGUUAGGAGGUAUUGGAGCUGUGAAUGACAUGUGGUGACCCUGCUCAGUCUGCUCCCAAAGUGACAGCAGUGCAGUCCUGCACAGAGAGAUCCCAGAGUGACAGUACAGCAGUGCUGCCUGGAGAGAUCCCAAAAUUACAGCAGUGCUGCCUGGAGAGAUCCCCAAGUGACAGCAGUGCCGUUCUACCUGGAGAGAAGCUCUGUGCUGAGAGGAUGGAGUGACCUGGCCAUGCAGGGGAGGCAAUGGGCAGCAAGACAGAACAAAGGGUGGGAGUUGCAGUCCACAAGGAACUCCAAAGGGAAUUUGAUGUUGGUUCACAAGAAGAGAUGGAAAAAGUAUUUCUGACUCACUUUGAGGAACAGAGUGUAGCGGAAUGACUCGGGCAGCACAAGCUGGGGCACAUGUGCCUUGGGGCAGUGUUCCACCCUGAUCAGAAGACAUAGGACAUCCCUAUCUGUAUGGGAUAGAAAAGUGGAAAACAUUGCAAUAUGUUUUGGUGAGAAAGAGAAUACAUCUUGAAGAGCAGAAAGGUAUAGAUAACAGAGAACUAGUGUAUACAGCCAUUUCUAAUCUUUAAUAUAUUUUAAUAAUGGAAUAUAGAAUAAACUGCGUAUUUACGCCUAGAUUUCACAUUAUUUACUGUUUCUUCAUUGAGCACAGCAAAUAAUAGAACAACUUCCACAGAAGAAAAUAUAAUUUGAUUUAUAAUGAUUGUGUAUUUUAUUAUAACUUUAUUUUCUUGUAUGAUUCAUUUCUAGCUACAGUAAUGUCUGUUUAUGAUGCUGUUUUAAAGUAAUCAUAAUGUCAUUUUCACUAUCUCUUUUGGAAUGUUUGCUAUCUUAGACAUAUGUUGGGUGACAUUUAAAUGAAUAUUUUAUUUAUGUGUGGUAUGUACAUGGGAAAAAACUGUAAAACAGAUUUUUAAUGUGCAAAUAAACAUUAUACUAUGGCAGUGAUGGGAGGUAUUUCAAGGUUAUACAAUGCGUUGAUACCAUCAGGGCAAACAGAUUUUCAAUAUGGAACAAUUUUAUAUCAGCAUUUUUUCUAAAGAAAGAUACAGAAAAUUGAAUGCUAUACAGUGUACACUCUUUAAAGAUAAGGAAGAUUUAAUAUUAUUCCAUGUAAAAAUUAUCUACUGUAUUCAGAGAAGGAUUUGUGGAUGCUCAGACAUAUUAAAACUCUAUUUCUUUUGAAUAUGAAAAUGUUGAAACAGUAGAGGUGCUACUGCUUUUGAGUAAGCCCUGACAAAUGCUGAAGACUUGCUGAUCUCGUUUCACACUUUCAA